RNAcentral lists this ribosomal RNA (467 nucleotides) under uncultured bacterium. RNAcentral describes it as "partial 16S ribosomal RNA". It matches the Rfam family "Bacterial small subunit ribosomal RNA", at positions 29 to 507 of the family's 1533-position model. The record is from RNAcentral.
ACGAACGCUGGCGGCGUGCUUAACCCAUGCAAGUCGAACGGAAAUGCCCUGCUUUUGUGGGGUGCUCGAGUGGCGAACGGGUGAGUAACACGUGAGUAACCUGCCCUUGACUUUGGGAUAACUUCAGGAAACUGGGGCUAAUACCGGAUAGGAGCUCCUGCUGCAUGGUGGGGGUUGGAAAGUUUCGGCGGUUGGGGAUGGACUCGCGGCUUAUCAGCUUGUUGGUGGGGUAGUGGCUUACCAAGGCUUUGACGGGUAGCCGGCCUGGGAGGGUGACCGGCCACAUUGGGACUGAGAUACGGCCCAGACUCCUACGGGAGGCAGCAGUGGGGAAUAUUGCACAAUGGGCGGAAGCCUGAUGCAGCAACGCCGCGUGUGGGAUGACGGCCUUCGGGUUGUAAACCGCUUUCGCCUGUGACGAAGCGUGAGUGACGGUAAUGGGUAAAGAAGCACCGGCUAACUACGUG